GAUGAAGAACGUAGUGAAAUGCGAUAAGUAAUGUGAAUUGCAGAAUCCAGUGAAUCAUCGAAUCUUUGAACGCACAUUGCGCCCGCCAGCAUUCUGGCGGGCAUGCCUGUUCGAGCGUCAUUUCAACCCUCGACCUCCCUUUGGGGAAGUCGGCGUUGGGGACCGGCAGCACACCGCCGGCCCUGAAAUGGAGUGGCGGCCCGUCCGCGGCGACCUCUGCGUAGUAAUCCAACUCGCACCGGAACCCCGACGCGGCCACGCCGUAAAACACCCAACUUCUGAACGUUGACCUCGAAUCAGGUAGGACUACCCGCUGAACUUGAGCAUAUCAAUAAGCGGAGGA
This 343-nucleotide unclassified non-coding RNA is filed under the name soil metagenome. RNAcentral's name for it is "partial contains 5.8S ribosomal RNA, internal transcribed spacer 2, and large subunit ribosomal RNA". The stretch from base 1 to 120 matches the Rfam family "5.8S ribosomal RNA", at positions 35 to 154 of the family's 154-position model. The record is from RNAcentral.